This 861-nucleotide ribosomal RNA is filed under the name Limosilactobacillus fermentum. Its description in RNAcentral is "bacterial SSU rRNA". It matches the Rfam family "Bacterial small subunit ribosomal RNA", at positions 61 to 891 of the family's 1533-position model. Lineage: Bacteria; Bacillati; Bacillota; Bacilli; Lactobacillales; Lactobacillaceae. The record is from RNAcentral.
GCCCAUUGAUUGAUGGUGCUUGCACCUGAUUGAUUUUGGUCGCCAACGAGUGGCGGACGGGUGAGUAACACGUAGGUAACCUGCCCAGAAGCGGGGGACAACAUUUGGAAACAGAUGCUAAUACCGCAUAACAACGUUGUUCGCAUGAACAACGCUUAAAAGAUGGCUUCUCGCUAUCACUUCUGGAUGGACCUGCGGUGCAUUAGCUUGUUGGUGGGGUAAUGGCCUACCAAGGCGAUGAUGCAUAGCCGAGUUGAGAGACUGAUCGGCCACAAUGGGACUGAGACACGGCCCAUACUCCUACGGGAGGCAGCAGUAGGGAAUCUUCCACAAUGGGCGCAAGCCUGAUGGAGCAACACCGCGUGAGUGAAGAAGGGUUUCGGCUCGUAAAGCUCUGUUGUUAAAGAAGAACACGUAUGAGAGUAACUGUUCAUACGUUGACGGUAUUUAACCAGAAAGUCACGGCUAACUACGUGCCAGCAGCCGCGGUAAUACGUAGGUGGCAAGCGUUAUCCGGAUUUAUUGGGCGUAAAGAGAGUGCAGGCGGUUUUCUAAGUCUGAUGUGAAAGCCUUCGGCUUAACCGGAGAAGUGCAUCGGAAACUGGAUAACUUGAGUGCAGAAGAGGGUAGUGGAACUCCAUGUGUAGCGGUGGAAUGCGUAGAUAUAUGGAAGAACACCAGUGGCGAAGGCGGCUACCUGGUCUGCAACUGACGCUGAGACUCGAAAGCAUGGGUAGCGAACAGGAUUAGAUACCCUGGUAGUCCAUGCCGUAAACGAUGAGUGCUAGGUGUUGGAGGGUUUCCGCCCUUCAGUGCCGGAGCUAACGCAUUAAGCACUCCGCCUGGGGAGUACGACCGCAA